CACAGCCGAAGCCCUAAUUUUUAUGGAGGAUUCUCUCGAUUUAUUCGAUGUCCGAGUCCUGAUUUCCAACUGUUGAAGUUUUUGUACUGAGUGUUCGGAAGAGGUUUUCUCUUCAGUGGAAAUGAACGAGUUUUGCUCCAAAUCCCUAAUGUCAAUCAUGAUGCAGGAAAUUCAAA
Non-coding RNA from Erythranthe guttata (spotted monkey flower), 176 nucleotides. The record is from RefSeq and is a predicted model, not a curated record. NCBI's taxonomy places the organism in Eukaryota, Viridiplantae, Streptophyta, Magnoliopsida, Lamiales, Phrymaceae.